UUUUAUAUCAACUUGUAAAUAUACCGUAAAUACUUUUUUCACAUAAUGUGGCAAAAGAGAUUGGACAGUUGUUUUUUUAAUCAUCACCGAAGGAGUCAAUGUGAUAAAGGAAACUGUAUUUUAAAAACUAUCGCUGGGAUUCGGGAAGUACAGAGUGAAAAAGCAACUUAUUAUAGAUUUGAAAAUAAAUUAUACUUUUAUAGAAAAGACAUCGUCUCAUCUAUGUCAUUCAGAUGCCGAGUCAGAGGAUGUUCAGGCUCAAUCAAUCUGAAUUUCAAAGAUGAGUCGAUUUUUCAUGUACAUAGUUGUGAAAUAGAUGCGGAUGAGUUUGAAAAUAAGAUAAAAUUGCAUAACAGUAUUAAGUUAAUUUCGAAAGAAAAAUCAUUUUUGACAGCAACGAAGAUUGCGAAAGAAGCUGAAAAUGAAUUUCCUGAUAUAGUAACUAAUUGUUCUCGAGAAGCUCUAAAGAAGAUGGCUACUCGUGAGAAAAUCAAAUUAUUAAGUCAUACUCCAAAAACUAUAGCAGAGCUAGGAAAAAUGUAUAACACUUCUGAAUCUUCUGGUGUUCCCGGCCAUGAAUAUUAUCGGGGUCACUUAAUUACAAAAGAUGACCAGGAAGUAAUUCUUUUUGCUGGUGACGAGUCGAUCAAUUUUAUGAGAACGCUCGGUUUGCCUCCAAAUCGAUGGAAAUUUUAAAGCCAUUCCUCGACACCAGAAAAAUCGGUACUUCAAUGCCAGACAGCUUUUUGUAGUUUGUGGUGAACUGACUGAAGAGGGUGAAACGAUUCCUUUAGCAUAUGCGCUCUGCAGUGGAGCCAAAACAGAUAUCUACAAAUUUAUCAUAGAAAAUUUGAAAAAACUAACAGGCGG
Aphidius gifuensis is the source of this 870-nucleotide long non-coding RNA. RefSeq lists it as uncharacterized. The transcript has 3 exons. Lineage: Eukaryota; Metazoa; Arthropoda; Insecta; Hymenoptera; Braconidae. The record is from RefSeq and is a predicted model, not a curated record.